AAACUUUUAAAUUUGUUAAGUUUUAAUAAAUUUAAUUAUAUUUGAAUAUAUUUUACUAAAUUUUGACAAACAUAACAAAUAAUUUGAAUAGUUUAGUUGUUUUAAAUAUUUAGGUCCAAAAUUAAUUGAUAUAUUUAGAUUUAUAAUUAUAAUCUUAGAUAAUUAGAUAAUAUUACGAUUAAAUAUAAUUAAUAUUUUGGAUAUUAAAUUAAUGUUUGGAUUUUUGAAUACUCUUUUUGGGUAACGGGUAAUUUACGGACCAAUCGGAUAUCCACGGGUUUACUAAAACUCUACCCAAUAAGGAAAUUUCCUAAAAUUUUAACCCGCCUUAACCCGGUUUUUUGGUUCGGGUAUUAGGUUGGUUAUCGGGUCCGUUCUUUCGUUAGCCCUAUUAAAGAUAAUCUAAUAUAGGCCCCAAUUAGGUUCACAUAUAUAACCAAAAUACUAUAUAAAGACUAAUUCUAAGUUAAGCCAAAAAUUAUAUCCUUUAAUACAAAGAAAACAUGUUUCUUACCAAAACAACUUGUAUACAAAUUUUACACAUUUACUUAAAA
Molecule: small RNA, 554 nt
Filed under: Arabidopsis thaliana (thale cress)
Lineage: Eukaryota; Viridiplantae; Streptophyta; Magnoliopsida; Brassicales; Brassicaceae
Description: ATSL295040
Source: RNAcentral